UUCAGAUUCAACACAUCCUCUCCUAUCCCCCUUCUCUCUAGGCACUACGUUGCGCCCACCUCCAAAUCCUGCGUUGCUGCCUCACCUCUGCAGCCUCGUUUCCGCUUGCCGCUUGGCCGACCGUACUCGCCGACGACCCGAAGCAACCAUUACGCGAUGCAACCUAGAUCUCAACGCCAUCCGUUUCGCUAGUUGGUGUGCCAUCCUGUAAAUUGACGGGUUUCCCUCAUCCUGUCGUCUUCGUGAUGCCAAAGGAAGUCGCGGUUAGGAGCAUAUACAUGAUCUGAUGUCUGAUGAGUUCGUUUCUGUUGGUCAGUCGCACUAAGGAUGGAUACAUGAUAUUCUUGACUUGCCCUGGCUUAUCUCACGAGUUAGCACCUGUCUCAGCUUCUCACGGCAUCUGAUAGGUCCUUAGGAUUAUAGAUCCUGAAGAUAAGUUCAGAUCCUAGAUUGGGGAUGUCCACAUGUGUACUACCUGAUGAGCUGGUGGUAGACAUCCUGUCUCGACUGCCGCUAAAGUCCUUGUGCCGCAUCAAAUGUGUCUGCAAGUCUUGGCUUGCCUUCUCAUCUCAUCCAUACUAUCGGCAAAAGCUCCCAAGAACUCCCGCUGGCCUCUUGUACCGGAAAUUUGAGCGUGGCAGAGUUGCCUCCCCUCUUGGCAGUGCCAUCCAUCUCGCCAGACUGCCCUAAGGUGACAAGGAAAUUGACACAACACUUAGCUUUGUGCCAUGUUAUAAGUACCCAAUACAGCUUCGGGGUUGCUGCAAUGGCCUACUUCUUUGUUACCAGAAAAUUAGAAGUGAAGAAAUUUCCAAUGCUAUUGUGUGCAAUCCAGCAACUCAAGAGUGGAUGGCACUUCCAGAUACUGAACCUGGCCCGGCCCGCUCCAAUAAUGCAUUUGAGUUGUGUUUCGAUCCAUUAUGGUCGGAACACUUCUAUGUCUUCAAAUUCCAGUCUAUCGAGGUCAUGAGCUGUAUCAACACUGAAGUUAAGGUAUUUUUCUCUAAGGAUUCCACAUGGUCUAGCUGUCUUUGGAAAACUAGAGAUCCAUUUGAAGGUGAUUCUCUCUUUGUAAAUGGGUGUUGUAUCUGAAGCACUUCAUCUUGAAUAAAAUCCUGGCGCUAGACGCACCUGACACA
This is a long non-coding RNA of Triticum aestivum (bread wheat), 1139 nucleotides long. RefSeq lists it as uncharacterized. NCBI's taxonomy places the organism in Eukaryota, Viridiplantae, Streptophyta, Magnoliopsida, Poales, Poaceae. The record is from RefSeq and is a predicted model, not a curated record. The transcript has 3 exons.